RNAcentral lists this ribosomal RNA (245 nucleotides) under uncultured bacterium. RNAcentral's name for it is "partial 16S ribosomal RNA". It matches the Rfam family "Bacterial small subunit ribosomal RNA", at positions 524 to 766 of the family's 1533-position model. The record is from RNAcentral.
GACGAGGGGUCCUAGCGUUGUUCGGAAUCAUUGGGCGUAAAGCGUGUGUAGGCGGCCUUGCAAGUCAGUUGUGAAAGCCCCGGGCUCAACCCGGGAAGUGCUUCUGAUACUGGCUUGGCUUGAGUACUGGAGAGGAUAGUGGAAUUCCAGGUGUAGUGGUGAAAUACGUAGAUAUCUGGAGGAACACCGGUGGCGAAGGCGGCUAUCUGGCCCAUGUACUGACGCUGAGACACGAAAGCGGUGGG